Non-coding RNA from Carica papaya (papaya), 937 nucleotides. Lineage: Eukaryota; Viridiplantae; Streptophyta; Magnoliopsida; Brassicales; Caricaceae. The record is from RefSeq and is a predicted model, not a curated record.
UAUUACUUUUUUCAUCAUUGAGUUGAUUCUAUGCAUAUAUGUUCUUUUUACAGCCAAAAAACAAUAUAUGCGUAUAUAUGCUUAUAUAUUUUAUUUCAAAAAAAAACGUAUAUGUUUCUUUGACAGCCAAGAAGAGGUGCUUUGAAACAUGGGAGGAAGGUAGCAAAACAUUCAUCAGUCUCUUGGAAAAAAAAAAGGAUGGCUCUUCCUUGCCUUGCAUAGCACAAAAGUCUGUUUCUUUGGUAUGGAGUGACAAAAGGAAUGCUAAUAUUUUGAAGUGUCAACUCUCUAGUGACAACAGGAAGAUUUCAUUUCUCUGAAUACUGAAUGCCUGCUGCCUGGUUAAGUGGAUCCACGACAUUAUUUUGGGGCAUAAGACGUGAAAAUGCCUCGUAAAGUAAGUUACGGAGUUGAUUAUGAUGAUGGUUAUGAUGGGUAUGAAGAGUAUGACUAUGACUAUGACUAUGACUAUGACUAUGAUGUAGAAGAAUAUGGUAGAUAAUUUGUUAUUGAACAAAUCGAUCAUAGGUUCCCAACAAUUACUGUCAUUGUGCUUGGUGCCAAGAGGAAUGCCAAGGUAAGUGAUAGGUAACUGUGUUUGCUUGCAGCCCAAAACCACACUGAAGUGUUCAUUUCUAGAGCUGUUUCCCAACAAAACCAUCUCAGAUUUUUGGAAAUUUAUAUUUAAACCGGAGACAGUCUGAAAGCAUAGUAGAAUACAUUUUAGGAAGAUGAAGGAGUUGAAAUCCGAUUGACAGAAAAUCAGUGUAGCAUCAGCAAAGAAAAGAUGAAAAAUUUCCGUUUUGUGAUCUCUGUUACCUACAGUAAUCUCUUUAAUUAAGUUUAGUGAUUUUGUUUUCUCAGUUAGUUAAUUCAGUGCCUCCAUUACAAUAAUGAAUAAGAGUGGAUAAAAGGGAUCCCCUUGUCGUAGGCCUCU